UUUGCCGACAAUAGCCGGGUGUAGCCGAAGAGCCGACGAUAGCCGAGUUUUGCCGACAAUAGCCGGGUGUAGCCGAAGAGCCGAUGAUAGCCGAGUUCAGCCGAAGUGCCGAAACAAGCCCAGCUUAGACCAACAGCCGAACCAAACCGCCGCUGCACGUACGUGUUUUAAUCGCGUAACCAGGCGGACUCGGGAAAGCCGACAGCCGGAGUAGAUUUCUGUUUGGUCUGUGUCUGUGAGGAGCGGGCUGUGUGCUGGACAGGCAGAGACGCUGUCGGAGCGUGGCAACAGCGCCAGCUGUGAGCUCUGAGGAUGAUGAGGGCUCCGAGCAGCCCCAGCCCUGAGCUGCGAGGAUGAGGAGGGGGCGGCUCCUGCCGGGAGGAGGCUGUUUUAGGGGGGAAGGGGUUGCCUGAGCUCCCUUUUGCCUGGAGCUGCUGAGCAGAGGGGUUUAGGGGGGCUCCCGGCGCUGUCUCGUGGAAGGACGCCGAGAGCUUCUCCGAGGGUCUGGGGGAACACCUGGAUACGCACUUGGAUGCGUGGAGCAUUGCUCAAAGGAGGUGCCGAGGAACAAAGCUCCGUGCCGGGAAGCAGCAGCCGAACGGUUGAUGUACGGUGCGGGAUAUGGUGAACUGCUUGCACGUUAUGGCUCUCGGUUCAGCCGUUGAUGAUGUGCUUGUGAAUGUAAAUAUGGAAAAUGUGAAAUACGUUUAAACAUGGUUUUAAAGAAAAGGGGCUUUUCGGUUCCCGCUGGGCGCAACGCGGGAGCAGCAGGGAGAGGUGGGUUUGUCCUGGGCCACGGACGAGCUCCGCGUGGAUAUGUGAGGCUGCGGCUGCAAGCUGCCGCAGGAGCCGAGGUCUGCCCGCAGCCGCGUACAGCUAGUUCAAAGAUGUCUCAGAGUCCUUCACGUUAGAAGAGCAAAGGAGCAAGAGAGAAGGCCUCAAGCCUAACCCAUUAAAAGCGGCUGCGGCUUUGUGUGCUGUAGCGUGGCAGGCAUUCACAGGGCCUGGGCAGAGAGAGGUGGAGCUGGGCCGUGGAGUCCCCCGGAUCCUUCCACGGGUGUGGGCGUCUGCAGCACCGGGGAUCCGUGGCACAACUCCUUCCUGCAGAGGCUGAAAGCUGAGCCUACAAUUUCAAGCAGGACAAUCACCUUCCCAAGGCAAUAACAAGCGCCUCCCAAGAGCAGCUGGUGAAGGCGGCUCAGAAGGGAUGUGGUGAAACGUUUGGUCCAUCCAUCGUGCUUCUGGACGUGGUAGGGGAGACACACCUUUUCAUAGACGACACUGUAUUUUUUAGGCUUUGUGUUUGUCUGUGCUCCCAUUCUGAUCACCCCUUGAAUUAUUAUUUUUCAAGAAGAUGUCUAGGAGAGAAAUUCCGUUUAUUCGGGGACAGCCAUAAUUUUCAUCUGUUUAAAAUGCACCAGGUGUCUUUAAGCCCUGCAAAGCCACCGAGAGCUCCAGAGUUUGUAGUGCAGUUUUCUGCAGCACUGACUUAUUCUCUGUUGCGGUGCCCAUGCCCUGAGGUACCAGGCAGGCUCAAUAGCAGGAGCAGGAGAAACUGACCUGAGAGAUGCUUUGGGUGCAGCCCAGCCCGGUUUUAUGCCGCCUGCAAAGUCUGGCCUUGCACUACAAAGCGGUCUGCUGUUGCCAUCGGCUGGAAAAAUCCCUAAUGGAUGUUUCCAAACGUGGGGAGGAGUAUCUGCUCCUGUUACAGCAGUACUGGGGGCUUUUCCCCCACUAGGUCUCUGUGAACUGGCCAAGACCAAGGCGUGCAGCAGGCUGUUACCGCUCUCUGCACGGUGAAGCACCUUCGACCAAGGUCAGUGUAAGAGCAAAGCAAUUCUUGCAAGAAAAGCCUGCUACUAGAGGGGUCAAAAAUUAUCCUUCCAAAGGAAUUCAUGCUUCUCGUCCCUUACACCUCUCCUGUUGCAUCACACCGUAGAAUGGUUUGGGUUGGAAGGGACCUCAAAAACGACCCAGUUCCAUCCCCCUGUCCCGGGCAGGGACACCUUCCCCUGGGCCAGGUUGCUUUGCUGUGCCCCCAGAUCUGUCACCUCAGCUGAGCCGUCCCGACACGUUCCACGCAUGUUCCCGCGGAGACCACGCAAGCUUUGCCACAAGGAAAAGUCCUAAAGGCCCUGUUCAUCCCAAAGACAUCAAACCUAGAAUUUCUUUCUUGCUGCACUGUUUGCACUUCUUUCUUUCUCAAAGUGUCACGCACACGAAAUAUUGCUGCGGCCUACUCCUGUGGGAUUUUCAGGAGUAUUGGAUAUAGUUUCCUUUUUUUUUUCCCUUUUCU
Passer domesticus (house sparrow) is the source of this 2296-nucleotide long non-coding RNA. RefSeq lists it as uncharacterized. The transcript is spliced from 6 exons. Lineage: Eukaryota; Metazoa; Chordata; Aves; Passeriformes; Passeridae. The record is from RefSeq and is a predicted model, not a curated record.